RNAcentral lists this ribosomal RNA (253 nucleotides) under uncultured bacterium. RNAcentral describes it as "partial 16S ribosomal RNA". It matches the Rfam family "Bacterial small subunit ribosomal RNA", at positions 524 to 776 of the family's 1533-position model. The record is from RNAcentral.
UACGUAGGGGGCAAGCGUUGUCCGGAAUCAUUGGGCGUAAAGAGCGUGUAGGCGGCCCGAUAAGUCCGCUGUGAAAGUCCAGGGCUCAACCCUGGAAUGCCGGUGGAUACUGUCGGGCUCGAAUCCGGAAGAGGCGAGUGGAAUUCCUGGUGUAGCGGUGAAAUGCGCAGAUAUCAGGAGGAACACCAAUUGCGAAGGCAGCUCGCUGGGACGUUACUGACGCUGAGACGCGAAAGCGUGGGGAGCAAACAGG